GACGAACGCUGGCGGCGUGCUUAACACAUGCAAGUCGAACGAUGAACCCGGAGCUUGCUCCGGCGGAUUAGUGGCGAACGGGUGAGUAACACGUGGGUGAUCUGCCCUGCACUUCGGGAUAAGCCUGGGAAACUGGGUCUAAUACCGGAUAGGACUCCGGACUGCAUGGUCUGGGGUGGAAAGCUUUUGCGGUGUGGGAUGGGCCCGCGGCCUAUCAGCUUGUUGGUGGGGUGAUGGCCUACCAAGGCGACGACGGGUAGCCGGCCUGAGAGGGUGACCGGCCACACUGGGACUGAGAUACGGCCCAGACUCCUACGGGAGGCAGCAGUGGGGAAUAUUGCACAAUGGGCGCAAGCCUGAUGCAGCGACGCCGCGUGAGGGAUGACGGCCUUCGGGUUGUAAACCUCUUUCAGCAUCGACGAAGCGAAAGUGACGGUAGGUGCAGAAGAAGGACCGGCCAACUACGUGCCAGCAGCCGCCGUAA
This 484-nucleotide ribosomal RNA is filed under the name uncultured bacterium. RNAcentral describes it as "partial 16S ribosomal RNA". It matches the Rfam family "Bacterial small subunit ribosomal RNA", at positions 28 to 523 of the family's 1533-position model. The record is from RNAcentral.